UACAUUUUUUUUUUUUUACAAUAUGACAACACAGCUUUUAAUCUUUAGCUUUUUAUCUUUAGCUUUUUAUUGAAUCUAAAAGAUCUGUGGUAACGUGCCAUGUACUGUAGGGUAAAGUACCAGUGCAGCUAAUUUAGUUAUAUUCAACUGACCGACCAUCACUCCCACCUGCUGGCAGAAUGAAAUGUUUUUAAAUGAAAUGUGAAAAUAUGAGGUUGUGAAAUUGUCUUUGGAUUCUCAAAGAGUGAUUUUUUUUUUGUUUUUUUUUUGGUUUACAGUUUAAAAAACAGGACCUUUGACACUUGAUUACCAUCUUACAUAACUUAAUUAAAUAUUAAAGUUAUUAUAGGAUCCAAGUUAUCUAUUUGUACAACAACAACACCACUGAGGGUUCCAUAUUCUGGGAUUGCACGUUAUGUAACACUCUUUGUACCGACUUAAUUGAUUAUUGAGAUAAAAAAUAUUAACAAGACUAUUGUAUCUUGAGAUAUAUCUUGAUUUUGAUACUGUAAAUAAAAUUGAAGUAUA
Molecule: long non-coding RNA, 528 nt
Organism: Sander lucioperca (pikeperch)
Lineage: Eukaryota; Metazoa; Chordata; Actinopteri; Perciformes; Percidae
Exons: 2
Source: RefSeq, a predicted model, not a curated record